CCAAAAGUCAAUAGACGUAAAAAUUUGCAAUUUCUUAUCGUCCUUGAAGUAGUGUUAUGGUAUCUUCAUUUGCGGAGCAAAUAUUGUCAAACGGUGGUUGGGGAUCAGAGUUUGAGCUUUGGAAAGUAUAUAUAGGCCGCUUAGGUUGUGGGCGAUCUGUCUCCCUACUCAGCAUGAAAACUACAUCUGGCAUGGUUGGCCUAUCUGCAGCAUUGUCCUGUACACAAAGAAGCCCAAUGUGCACACAUCUCAUCACUUCUGUUGACGAAUAUGAAUCUGCCAAAACUUCAUCAACCAAGUCCAAUCCCCUGCCUUCAUUCCAUGAGUGCCAUGCCUGAAUAAGUUUCAUAUAUGUUGGCUACAAUUGUUAGACUCUGUUGUAUUUAGCUUCAUAUAGAUUGUUUAACAAUUUAUAAGAAUUUAGAGUGUGAACUUACAUAAUCUAUGAAGCCUAGCUGUUGGUCAUGGUAAUAGAAGCUGGUAUUUUUCCUGCCACCAACAAUCUCCAAUAGAAAGACUCCAAAGCUAUAUAUAUCAGAUUUUUCAGAAAAUAUCCCGCGCAUAGCGUACUCGGGAGACAUAUAGCCACUGUACAGGAAAUUCAUUAUCCACUAACUUAUUAUUAUUCCUGAUAACAUGCUAAAAAGCAUUAGAAAUUUAGUUGGUUAAUAACAAUUCUGAUAAUUGGGAAGAAAUUAUUCUUACCGAGUUCCCACAACCUUCUGAGUGUUUGCUAGAUUCUGUGUCCCUUCAAAGAUACGUGCCAGUCCAAAAUCCGAAAUUUUUGGGCUCAUCUUCUCAUCCAACAGAAUAUUACUUACCUUCAAACAUGAAUCAUAGUGGAGAUAAAGAAGUCCUCUAGCAACACCUUGAAUAAUAUUGAAGCGUUUUGCCCAAUCAAGCUCUGCUCUUCUCAUUGGAUCUAAUCAAUUCACCCAUUUGAAAUGAAAUCAGUAGUGUCAUUCAUAUAUUUGGUGCAUAGUACAAUGAAAACAAUGAUUUAAUUGCUAUAAAAUAGAGACACAGUUGUAAGAACACUAGUAAGCGGUGCUUAAACAGGUAGGUGUAAUAUAUUGAAGAGCUAAACUGUACUCAAAGAUUGUGCAUAUCAGUUAAUAGUUCCCCUGAGCUCCGCAUUCUAGGAAAAGCUCAUAGAUUACCAGUGAUAUUGAAGAAAGAUAUGUAACAAUGAGAAAUUGCAGCCAAACAUAAAGGGCCAGUGAAACUUACUGAACAAAAGAGUAUCCAAGCUUUUGUUUGGCAUGAACUCAUAAAUUAGUAGCUUCUCAUCAUCUUUAAUGCAGCAACCCAUGAGCCUUACAAGAUUCUUAUGUUGGAGUUUGGAGAUCAAUAGAAUCUCAUUCUUGAACUCUUCUAUGCCUUGUACUGAGCUACUAGAUAGUCUUUUUACUGCUAUUUCCUUCCCUUCUUGUAGCUUACCCUACACAAGGUCCACAAAUUAAUCAUUGCAUUCAUGUCUGUAUCAUUAUAUAUAUUCCUUCGAAAAGAAAAAAAAGAAAGAAAGAAUAAUCACCCUAUAUACAGGCCCGAAUCCUCCUUCUCCGAGUUUAUUUGUGAUGCUGAAAUUCCUCGUAGCAAUUAAUAUGGUAUCAAAAUCAUAGAUUACUAGCUCUGAUGGAUCAUGUUUUCUUAUAUAUUCAUGAAGAAGAGCAUCUCUUGAAGUCUCAAUCAUAUCAGCCAUUUCAGAGUCCUUAGGUGUUACUUUGACGUUUCCUGGUUUGCAAAUAUAGCAACCAAACUCGAAGUCAGAGAAAAACAAAAAAGCAGUAAAUAUGCUCUUAUAAUGUAAUGCAUUGAAGUUAUACUGUUUUGAUUAAUACUUCAAACAGAGGAAGGGUGAGAUCAUGGGCUAAUGCAUUAAUUGCAUCCCUCGACCUCAUUCUCUUACUCUUUUGGUUAGAUCGCAAUCUGUGCAAGCUAAACACUAUGCCAGCCAAGAUACUGAUAAAACAAACAGCUAUGAGGCUGACCAUUAUCUUUAUUUGCUUUCUUUCACCUAAAAAAAUGAAUUUGUGUCACAUAAAGUAGGUGACAGAGAAAAGAAAAGAUACUGCUAAUUAGAGUUGUGCAAGCAAUAUUAUCACUUACCUAAUUCUGCAUGUGCUAAGCGAAUAAAAAGAUCAUCUCCACCAGAGGCAAACUCUUGAAUAUCAAUAAGGUCUUUGGACCAGACCAAACACCCUAUAUUGUUAAUAUGUGUAUAAGCCAGGCAAGAGCAACUACCUGUGCACUGUACCUUGCAGUCUUCAGCACCCAAAUUCGAAAUAUACUCAUGAAAAUCUGGUAGGUUUACACUUGAUAUCUUCCAAAACCCAUCUUGUUUUCCUCUCGAAGGAACUGAGUUACUUGUGUUACUCCCACAAAACAAUUUGGUUUUCCUCACACACCCCCCUGCCCUGUUUCCUUUGCUCCAUUCCUCUUGUGACUUGGGUUUAAACCCUUUCAAACACUUGCAGAUUGGAGACUCGGAAGCUUUGCAAACCCCAAAAGGUCCACAGAUUCCAUAAUGGUCACAUGGAUUCUUUGGGGCCUCCCAGUCAAGAUUCCAGUUCUCACCAUGUUCGGAAUACAUAAGCUUUAGUGUACCUUGAUAAGAGAUUUCCAUAUAUGCCAGAGUUCUGUUAAAGAAAAAAGAGAAAUACUUUGUUCCCUGCUGCACAUUAUCAUCUAGAUUUAAUCCACUUAGAUAUUCAUCAUUCAUUCCUGGUAUGCCGAGGAACUUUGUUUUGUCCCAUGGCCCACUUCUCCAGUAGGGAGUUGAUCCAUUAAUCCAAAUGAACAUUUGUGUUGGGAUCUGUGGUGCCAAUCCAACCGAGAACAACCCGGUUGAUCCAUCACUCUCACUUUUCCAGGCAGUCAAGACAUCCCUCUUUCCAGAUUUGUUAUCGAAUCCCAGCAACAUCUUUGGUAGAAGUGUGUCACCAGGAUAAUCAAAGCUCCUCCAUAAUUGAGCUCCUAUAUCAUCUUGGACAACAAAGUUUCCACUGUCUAAAAGAAGUGCAGCUGAACCAUUAGAUGGCACUAAAAUAUUGGUUGACCAAAUACAACUCUGUUUCCCAUCUACAAGCUCCAGGUUCCCAUUGCUGUUAAUUGUCAAACUAGCCAAUGUGUCUGUAACUGAAAGAGCCUUUUCUCUGUUGGCCACCCAAACAACUUUGCGGGGAAAUAUAGUCUUGUGCCAUAUCCCCACAUACUUGUUAGCAGAAUUAUUAGGACUGAAGAAGCCCAAUUCGAAAAUGUGGCCUGGGGAGACAAGAGUUUGUCCCUCUGCUAAUGGUUGUGAAGAAGUUAUGUUAUAAACUUCUGCACAAUAAUGCUGUGACAGAAACCAAUUGAAAAAGAAUAGGAUGAAGAUGGAGGGAUUAAAAGCAUGAAAAGUUUCAGUUCUCUUACCCAUUUCAAGCUUGUUAAUCUCCCUGCCCAACACGAGGUAUCUAAUUGUCAACCAAAACAAUAUUGCAUGUGGUUUUGGGCCAAUCAAUCAAUCAAUCUCUCUCUCUCUCUCUCUCUCUCUCUCUCUCUUUAUAAUAACAUCACAAACAAAUUAGCUAGUGUUCCUCUCUGGUUGGGGCCUGCCUUACUGACCAGCGAAAAGAAAAAGUAGUCAUGCGCAGAAAGCUACUUUUAAUACUAAACAAAAUAGCUUAUAGGACCACCUACGAAUAAUCUUCCUCACCCCGAAACUCAGAUUGACUAAAUAUAUAAAUUUGGGUAUCUAUAAAGAAAUCACAGAAGAAAGAAAAACGUCGGGAAAACAAACAGUUGGUGGGAAGCUGCUACGAACCUCAAAUUUACAGCAGCCAAACAAAGUCGGAGCUUUGUCUCCAUUUUUCCACAGAACCGUAUUAACAAGUUACAGAAACCAAUCUUUGACAUGGUCAUGAGGCAAGCGGGGGUGUUUCGAAAAUUCAGAAAGCUUUAUAAUCAAUCUCCAGGUCAACAGUCAAGAAUCAUGUUAGUCAAUAAUGUUGAAAAGACAAAAAGAUCAAGGCUUUUUUAGCUCAUAACAACCCAACUUCAAUUUGAAAGAUAAAGUUUUGUUAUUGCUGUCACAUAUUAUGUGUUAGACAAUCACAAUUUGUCUGAAAAAUAACAAGGGAAGUGGAGUUGAACCCAAAAAACCACGUUUUUCUUUACCUUUUAAUAAUAGCAUAAGAUAUUUGAACACAUACAAAACAUAUGUAUCAAAUCUAAUAAUAGCAUAGGCUAGCAUUGGAUCAGGACAUUAAAGGGAUGUUAUACUACUAACACCCGUCUUAUAAUGUUUUUUUGGCGCAUUUUAGCAAAAUAUCCCAUGAAAGGAAAACCUUCAUUCACUAUACCAAAAGGAAAACUUCAGAAUGGCCAAAAGUCAGUAGAUGCAAAAAUUUGCAAUUUCUUAUCGUCCUUGAAGAAGUGUUAUGGUAUCUUCAUUUGCAGAGCAAAUAUUGUCAAACUGUGGUUGUGGAUCAGAGACUGAGCUUUGGGAAGUAAAAAUAGGCCGCUUAGGUUGUGGGCGAUCUGUCUCCCUACUCAGCAUGAAAACUACAUCUGGCAUGGUUGGCCUAUCUGCAGCAUUGUCCUGUACACAAAGAAGCCCAAUGUGCACACAUCUCAUCACUUCUGUUGACGAAUAUGAAUCUGCCAAAAC
Molecule: long non-coding RNA, 4651 nt
Filed under: Prunus persica (peach)
Lineage: Eukaryota; Viridiplantae; Streptophyta; Magnoliopsida; Rosales; Rosaceae
Description: long non-coding RNA (PPER_LNC003966)
Source: RNAcentral